UCCUCGAUAGUACAGUGGUUAGUACACCCGCCUGCCAGGUGGGAGGCCGGGGUUCAAAUCCCCGUCGAGGUG
This 72-nucleotide transfer RNA is filed under the name Glossina brevipalpis. RNAcentral describes it as "tRNA tRNA-Gly". It matches the Rfam family "tRNA". Rfam says of the family: Transfer RNA (tRNA) molecules are approximately 80 nucleotides in length. Their secondary structure includes four short double-helical elements and three loops (D, anti-codon, and T loops). The record is from RNAcentral. Lineage: Eukaryota; Metazoa; Arthropoda; Insecta; Diptera; Glossinidae.